Molecule: ribosomal RNA, 867 nt
Filed under: uncultured bacterium
Lineage: Bacteria
Description: bacterial SSU rRNA
Rfam family: Bacterial small subunit ribosomal RNA
Source: RNAcentral
AACUGGUAACCUAGAGUAUGGGAGAGGUAGAUGGAAUUUCUGGUGUAGGGGUAAAAUCCGUAGAGAUCAGAAGGAAUACCGAUUGCGAAGGCGAUCUACUGGAACAUUACUGACGCUGAGACGCGAAAGCGUGGGGAGCAAACAGGAUUAGAUACCCUGGUAGUCCACGCCCUAAACGAUGUACACUAGUUGUUGCCAUGCUAGACAUGGCAGUAAUGCAGUUAACACAUUAAGUGUACCGCCUGGGGAGUACGGUCGCAAGAUUAAAACUCAAAGGAAUAGACGGGGACCCGCACAAGCGGUGGAGCAUGUGGUUUAAUUCGACGAUACGCGAAGAACCUUACCUGGACUUGACAUUUACAGAACUUUCAAGAGAUUGAUUGGUGUCUGCUUGCAGAAACUGUAGGACAGGUGCUGCACGGCUGUCGUCAGCUCGUGUCGUGAGAUGUUGGGUUAAGUCCCGCAACGAGCGCAACCCACGUCGUUAGUUGCUAACAGUUCGGCUGAGAACUCUAACGAGACUGCCUGGGCAACCAGGAGGAAGGUGUGGACGACGUCAAGUCAUCAUGGCCCUUACGUCCAGGGCUACACACGUGCUACAAUGGGGUAUACAAAGAGCCGCAAUACCGCGAGGUGGAGCAAAUCUCAAAAAUAUCUCCCAGUUCGGAUUGUACUCUGCAACUCGAGUGCAUGAAGUUGGAAUCGCUAGUAAUCGUAGAUCAGCAAUGCUACGGUGAAUACGUUCCCGGGUCUUGUACUCACCGCCCGUCACACCAUGGGAGUUGAACUCAUUCGAAGCGGGGAUGCUAAGAUAGCUACCCUCCACAGUGGAUUCAGCGACUGGGGUGAAGUCGUAACAAGGUACCA